UCCGCUCCAGAUCCCCAGACCCCAGUGUUGCUGCCGCCCUCCUGAACACGGCCAGCAAAGGGGGAUCGAGCCAAUCGAGUUCUUGUGCUCGAGCCUCGAGGCAAUCCGAUCAUUGGAGGGCUCAUUUCUGAUCUCCCUCCUCCUCCUCCUCCUCCUCCUCGCCGCCCUCCCCAUCGCUAACGCUCCGUCUCGCACCGCUUGGUUUCAGCUGCUCUCCGAUGGCUGACCUCAACGACGCCCCCCGGUUCGCGCUCUGCGUGGCGCUCGGCAUCUCCCUCAUCAUCAAGCCGCUGCUCGAGUCCCUCGACGGGGCCGACCCGCCGCCCAGCCCCGCCAUCCACGCCGCCGUCGCCGUCGUCCUCGCGCUCCUCCCGUUCGCCUACCUCGCGAGCAUCGUGCUGCUCCAGCUCCGGCUCGCCCCGCCGGCGCCGCCCUUCCCACCCCCGCCGGCCCCGGCGCACGCCAGGCGGUUCGCCUGCCUCGCAUGCACCAUGGUGUCCGCGCUGCUCGGCGUGCUCGCCGUGCCCCUCGUCGCGUUCUGGCUCCUCGCCGGCGCCGCGCAGCCGCGAGGGUGGUCCGCGAGGUAGGAACGAACUCGAUUCUUGACCAUGAAUCGGAACGCAAGAACUAGUAGCAUCCUGACGCCAGAAUCCUCGACAAGCUCAGUGUGCGCCCCUGCAAGACAGGGCACGGCCCUAUGUUUCCCCGGCGCCCGGCGGCGAGGCCGACGUGCUGGCCGAGACCGGCACACAUGGACGCUUCGAUCCGGUCAAGCGAAGGGAGGUGGGGACGCGGUCGUGAAGUCCUGCUUGGUCAGAUGAAGAAAUGGGGAGCACCUACUAAUUGGAGCCUUGUUCUGAGGUUUAUUUAUGGCCAAGUACCUUGUUUGGAUCCGGAUUUCUGGGCAAAACUGCAGCUGUACUACGUAUGGAGACACAUAUUGGGAGACGAGCUUUCCUGAAACAUGAGCGGCGCGCACCCUUGCCACCAUAAAUAAACGGAGCAAUAAGCGAAGCAGACAAGAUGCGUUGGCAUGUCUGGGCUGACUUUUCAAAGAUGAUGGCAUGAUGCAGUAUCGAAGAGAAGAGAAGAGAAGAGAAGAGAAGAGCUACAAGCGAAGCAGCCCAUUGGCUCAAGCCCCGUUCGUCUCAGAAGAUGCUUUGGCAUGACUGGGCGGAUGUCACAAUCUCACGUCCUAAUUUCCCUCAAAAAAAAAUCUCAUAGUCCUAAAACCUCCAAGGCGGAUCUAAGAGAAAGCCUUAAUGAGCAAGAAACCCUUAAUGAGCGACGGCUUUGGUUGUGUAUUUGGAGAACUGUUUAUCCUUGUGGUUGGUUCCAACUUUGAACCAACACCCAACCUUGUGCCUUUUCAUCUGCUAUCCA
Panicum virgatum (switchgrass) is the source of this 1383-nucleotide RNA transcript. RefSeq lists it as uncharacterized. Lineage: Eukaryota; Viridiplantae; Streptophyta; Magnoliopsida; Poales; Poaceae. The record is from RefSeq and is a predicted model, not a curated record. The transcript has 4 exons.